Molecule: ribosomal RNA, 568 nt
Filed under: Novumbra hubbsi
Lineage: Eukaryota; Metazoa; Chordata; Actinopteri; Esociformes; Umbridae
Description: partial 16S ribosomal RNA
Rfam family: Bacterial large subunit ribosomal RNA
Source: RNAcentral
CGCCUCUUGUACACCAAACAUAAGAGGUCCCGCCUGCCCUGUGACUAUAAGUUUAACGGCCGCGGUAUUUUAACCGUGCGAAGGUAGCGCAAUCACUUGUCUUUUAAAUGAAGACCUGUAUGAAUGGCAUCACGAGGGCUUAGCUGUCUCCUCUUUCAAGUCAAUGAAAUUGAUCUACCCGUGCAGAAGCGGGUAUAAAACCAUAAGACGAGAAGACCCUAUGGAGCUUUAGACACCCGGCAGACCCUGUUAAGCAGCUCUAAAUUAUUAAACUGAAACAAAACGGUUCCUGGCCUUAUGUCUUCGGUUGGGGCGACCACGGGGGAAAACAAAGCCCCCACAAGGACUAAGGAUAAAAUCCUUAUAACCACGAGCUACAGCUCUAAGAAUCAGAACUUCUGACCAAAAAGAUCCGGCAAUCGCCGAUCAAUGGACCAAGUUACCCUAGGGAUAACAGCGCAAUCCUCUCCCAGAGUCCCUAUCGACGAGGGGGUUUACGACCUCGAUGUUGGAUCAGGACAUCCUAAUGGUGCAGCCGCUAUUAAGGGUUCGUUUGUUCAACGAUUAA